Molecule: long non-coding RNA, 218 nt
Filed under: Hordeum vulgare
Lineage: Eukaryota; Viridiplantae; Streptophyta; Magnoliopsida; Poales; Poaceae
Description: long non-coding RNA (HVUL_LNC009906)
Source: RNAcentral
AGAGAGGAGGGAGCGUUGGAGGAACCGGAUGAAGACCAGUUUCAUCACGAUUAUGCUCAUCGUGAUGACCGCAACUCUCUUCUAUGUGAUGGUAGUUUAGAUGAUCGAUAUCGACUUGUAAUGUGAAGACAAACUCUCUACUCGCGGUCUCGAGACUUGUAAUGUUCUAACUUUGUUCGGUAUUUUAAAUUCGGAGACUAAUAUGAUGAAUUGUAUUC